GGGAUUUGAUUCCGCGACUUGCGCUCACAGAGGGCUUGGGGUCUCGCAGGGCGGAUCUACGAGCUGAAAUCGAAGCAGCGGCACCUGGAAGGAAGAAGAAGAGAGGCCCUGAACAGGAUUCUGGACAUCAAAGGUCGGAAAUCCGAGGACCCAUUCAUAGCUCCACCCAGAAAAAUGAUGAUCACCUCAGACCUGCUUUCUUUUCCAGGCAGCAUUAGGGUUUUCUGCAGGGUCCGGCCGAACAGUUCCUCCACCGUCACCACCGGACCAGAGAAGGUCACCAUCAGAUCGGCGGGGGCGAGGAAGGACUUCCGGGUGGACAGGGUCUUCC
This 331-nucleotide long non-coding RNA is filed under the name Spirodela polyrhiza (greater duckweed). RNAcentral's name for it is "long non-coding RNA (SPOL_LNC001829)". The record is from RNAcentral. Lineage: Eukaryota; Viridiplantae; Streptophyta; Magnoliopsida; Alismatales; Araceae.